Molecule: long non-coding RNA, 709 nt
Organism: Eriocheir sinensis (Chinese mitten crab)
Lineage: Eukaryota; Metazoa; Arthropoda; Malacostraca; Decapoda; Varunidae
Exons: 4
Source: RefSeq, a predicted model, not a curated record
UCGCGACUUAUUUCCCCGAGGAGGCAUUUCUCGCACGCACCCAGCCCCAGCUGUGGAGGGAGGAGGCUGGUGUGUUAUUUUUGUGAUUUUUGAAGCGAAUUAUCCUGUUGCCGAGGGAGCCAUGCAUCUAGAAACGGCUGGGGAAGGAGACGGUGGCUGAGUGGUUAGCGUGCCGGUCCUGCGUUUGCCGUGUCAUGGAUGACGAGGGUUUGAAUCCACCGCUGCCACAGACUACCUGUCCUGAAGACCACCACCAUCAUCGUGGACUGUAUGGGACUGUCCAAGGGAAAGCAAGAUGGGGCUGCUAUAAACACUUGCCGGCUUGGGCCCACCACCAGGCCCAGCCAAGGGAGGUUGGUGUAGCAGUGCCGGGAGGUUCCAUAACACAGGGCACUCCUCACCUCAACAACAGUCUCUUCACCGACAAGUAAUUCUUCACCAACAAGCUUUUCAGCAGCUUGGAGAAAUAGAUGGAAGAGGAAGAGGAAGAAGAGGAGGAGGAGGGGGACACAGGAAUUUCUUGGUGAGUGUUAUUUUUAUUUCUUUGUUCUGUUUAUCAAUAUUUUCCCUUGUUUCCUCUUUUUCUUAUCUUCAUUUUCUUUACAAAGGAAGGAAGGAGAGAGAGAGAGAGAGAGAGAGAGAGAGAGAGAGAGAGAGAGAGAGAGAGAGAGAGAGAGAGAGAGAGAGAGAGAAGGAAAAAAGGAAGGAA